CCUACGGGAGGCAGCAGUGGGGAAUAUUGCACAAUGGGGGAAACCCUGAUGCAGCGACGCCGCGUGAGUGAAGAAGUAAUUCGUUAUGUAAAGCUCUAUCAGCAGGGAAGAAAAUGACGGUACCUGAGUAAGAAGCCCCGGCUAACUCCGUGCCAGCAGCCGCGGUAAUACGUAGGGGGCAAGCGUUAUCCGGAUUUACUGGGUGGAAAGGGAGCGUAGACGGCAGUGCAAGUCUGGAGUGAAAGGCGGGGGCUCAACCCCCGGACUGCUCUGGAAACUGUACGGCUGGAGUGCAGGAGAGGUAAGUGGAAUGCCUAGUGUAGCGGUGAAAUGCGUAGAUAUUAGGAGGAACACCAGUGGCGAAGGCGGCUUACUGGACUGUAACUGACGUUGAGGCUCGAAAGCGUGGGGAGCAAACAGGAUUAGAUACCCUAGUAGUC
This 440-nucleotide ribosomal RNA is filed under the name uncultured bacterium. Its description in RNAcentral is "partial 16S ribosomal RNA". It matches the Rfam family "Bacterial small subunit ribosomal RNA", at positions 338 to 795 of the family's 1533-position model. The record is from RNAcentral.